ACAAUAACACAUCAUCUAUUAUAUGCAUAGUAUAUAAUCACAAAAUAAUAUUUCAUGCAUGUCAAUUGUAAGGAUAAAAAAAUUAUGAGUUCAUGAAUCUGCACACUUUUUCCUCCCUUUCUCCAGGCCCUAAGGGGGAAAGGGUCUCGCCUGCUGGGUAAGCCUCCACAGUGCAUUUACUGAGAAACCUGGAUAAUGAGCAGAAAUCAACAAAAACCAAAGAAGCUAUAGAGACAUAUGAAGUCUUUUACGAAGGACUAGUUAAGUUGGAAAGGGUUGGUGGAAUUCUGUGCCUGAAACAAGCCUUCAGGCAAAACCAAGAAGAACUUAACAACGACAAAGAGUAUGUGAACGAUCUCAAUGUAGCUAUUACCAAAAAUACCAAUAAACAUUGACAAGAGCUUA
Long non-coding RNA from Neofelis nebulosa (Clouded leopard), 405 nucleotides. RefSeq lists it as uncharacterized. The transcript is spliced from 2 exons. Lineage: Eukaryota; Metazoa; Chordata; Mammalia; Carnivora; Felidae. The record is from RefSeq and is a predicted model, not a curated record.